This 667-nucleotide ribosomal RNA is filed under the name uncultured bacterium BA12. Its description in RNAcentral is "bacterial SSU rRNA". It matches the Rfam family "Bacterial small subunit ribosomal RNA", at positions 50 to 718 of the family's 1533-position model. The record is from RNAcentral. Lineage: Bacteria; Pseudomonadati; Bacteroidota.
AACACAUGCAAGUCGAGGGGUAUAGGUUUUCGGAUCUAGAGACCGGCGCACGGGUGCGUAACGCGUAUGCAAUCUACCUUUUGCAGAGGGAUAGCCCAGAGAAAUUUGGAUUAAUACCUCAUAGUAUAUAGAGUUGGCAUCAACAUUAUAUUAAAGUCACAACGGCAAAAGAUGAGCAUGCGUCCCAUUAGCUUGUUGGUAAGGUAACGGCUUACCAAGGCUACGAUGGGUAGGGGUCCUGAGAGGGAGAUCCCCCACACUGGUACUGAGACACGGACCAGACUCCUACGGGAGGCAGCAGUGAGGAAUAUUGGACAAUGGGCGCAAGCCUGAUCCAGCCAUGCCGCGUGCAGGAUGAAGCAUCUAUGGUGUGUAAACUGCUUUUAUACGAGAAGAAACAACAUUACGUGUAAUGUCUUGACGGUAUCGUAAGAAUAAGGACCGGCUAACUCCGUGCCAGCAGCCGCGGUAAUACGGAGGGUCCAAGCGUUAUCCGGAAUCAUUGGGUUUAAAGGGUCCGUAGGCGGUCUUAUAAGUCAGUGGUGAAAUCUCCCCGCUCAACGGGGAAACGGCCAUUGAUACUGUAAGACUUGAAUUAUUAGGAAGUAACUAGAAUAUGUAGUGUAGCGGUGAAAUGCUUAGAGAUUACAUGGAAUACCAAUUGCGA